Molecule: transfer RNA, 72 nt
Filed under: Sus scrofa (pig)
Lineage: Eukaryota; Metazoa; Chordata; Mammalia; Artiodactyla; Suidae
Rfam family: tRNA
About the family: Transfer RNA (tRNA) molecules are approximately 80 nucleotides in length. Their secondary structure includes four short double-helical elements and three loops (D, anti-codon, and T loops).
Source: Rfam by way of RNAcentral
UCCUUGGUGGUCUAGUGGUUAGGACUUGGUGCUUUCACCACUGUGGCCCGGGUUCAAUCCCCAGUCUGAGAA